Molecule: ribosomal RNA, 138 nt
Filed under: uncultured bacterium
Lineage: Bacteria
Description: partial 16S ribosomal RNA
Rfam family: Bacterial small subunit ribosomal RNA
Source: RNAcentral
UGGGGAAUAUUGCACAAUGGGGGAAAACCCUGAUGCAGCGACGCCGCGUGAAGGAAGAAGUAUCUCGGUAUGUAAACUUCUAUCAGCAGGGAAGAUAGUGACGGUACCUGACUAAGAAGCCCCGGCUAACUACGUGCC